Molecule: ribosomal RNA, 253 nt
Filed under: uncultured bacterium
Lineage: Bacteria
Description: partial 16S ribosomal RNA
Rfam family: Bacterial small subunit ribosomal RNA
Source: RNAcentral
UACAGAGGGUGCAAGCGUUAAUCGGAAUCACUGGGCGUAAAGCGUGCGUAGGUGGUCAUGCAAGUCGGGUGUGAAAUCCCCGGGCUUAACCUGGGAACUGCAUUCGAUACUACAUGGCUAGAGUAUGGUAGAGGGAAGUGGAAUUUCCGGUGUAGCGGUGAAAUGCGUAGAUAUCGGAAGGAACACCAAUGGCGAAGGCAGCUUCCUGGACUAAUACUGACACUGAGGCACGAAAGCGUGGGUAGCAAACAGG